Rosa chinensis is the source of this 1059-nucleotide long non-coding RNA. RefSeq lists it as uncharacterized. NCBI's taxonomy places the organism in Eukaryota, Viridiplantae, Streptophyta, Magnoliopsida, Rosales, Rosaceae. The transcript has 4 exons. The record is from RefSeq and is a predicted model, not a curated record.
GAGGUUGGAAGCCAACUUGGAGAUGGAAUUGCAACUGGGUUUUCGACACAAAAGAGUUCCCCAACAUAAAGCUUGCAAUCAGCUUCAUCCUCCUAUUCCGUGAAGAGAAAUUGGUGAUUUCGAUGAGAGAAUUGGCCUAGGCUCACGGUGAUUUGUACCGGGUACAAAUCAAGUACAGGAGCUGUGGUGUCACAAAUUUCAGAGUUCCAGAAAUUGAUUCGACGGUACCAGGCGAGGACAGCAGCUGCAGUCAGGACUCUAGAGCUUCAAUUUGAAGGUGAGUCUCUGUCUACUUAGACUUUGUUCAUAUUUUUUGUGUUAUUUGAGUUGGUGCUUUAAAGGCAGGUCCCUUUUUAAUUUGACAUGGUGAUAGGAGGGACUGUUCUGUUUAUAGAACAUCGGAGACGCUGCUCCGGUAUAUUCAUCGGGACGCUGCCCGGCAUGAGUUCAUCGGGACGCUGCCCUGCAUGAGUUCAUCGGGACGCUGCCCGACAUGAGUUCAUCGGGACGCUGCCUGGCAUGAGUUCAUCGGGACGCUGCCUGGCAUGAGUUCAUCGGGUCGCUGCCCGGCAUGGUUCAUCGGGACGUUGCCCGGCAUGGUCAUCGGAGGCGCUGCUCCGGCAUGGUUUCAUCGGGACGCUACUCGGCAUGUUGGCUUUGACAUCAUUGACACCCGAAGGUGCCGUUGUGAGGAGGGCUGCAACAGAAAAGAGAAGGUGGUGGAGAGCAAUGGAAUGAGGUCUGAACCUUUUGUCUUCCAAGCUGCUUGCUGCUUUCUCCUUCUUGUAUUUUUUCCACGCUGCUGUGCUCCGUUGUCCUCCCUCCUUUUCUUCUUUUCAUGUAGUGUUUUUAUACUGCACCCGAGAUGAGUUUGGCUUGUAUACAACACAGAGGGUUUUAGAGUUCAACUUGAAGUGAACUAGUUGGACAUUUUAUCUCCUUUUUCUUUUGACGUGAAGACUGCAACUUCUUUUUCAAUUGCUUGUCUAGACUUUGAAACAAGCUAGAAGUCAGCAGCUUAAUUGUUUCUUUUGUUUAAAGCUUCACUAGCUGUCAAAC